AGCAGCCGCGGUAAUUCCAGCUCCAAUAGCGUAUAUUAAAGUUGUUGCAGUUAAAAAGCUCGUAGUUGAAUUUCGGGAUUGGCGCAUCGGUCGUGCCUCACGGGGUAUGAACUGGUGCAGUCAAUUUCUCACCUUCUGGAGAACCGCGAUGUCCUUAAUUGGAUGCCGCGGGGAACCAGGACCUUUACUUUGAAAAAUUAGAGUGUUUAAAGUAGGCAUUUUUGCUUGAAUACAUUAGCAUGGAAUAAUAAAAUAGGACGGCAUGGUUCUAUUUUGUUGGUUUCUAGGACCACCGUAAUGAUUAAUAGGGAUAGUUGGGGGCAUUAGUAUUCAAUUGUCAGAGGUGAAAUUCUUGGAUUUAUUGAAGACUAACUACUGCGAAAGCAUUUGCCAAGGAUGUUUUCAUUAAUCAAGAACGAAAGUUAGGGGAUCGAAGACGAUCAGAUACCGUCGUAGUCUUAACCAUAAACUAUGCCGACUAGGAAUCAGGCGAUGUUAAUUUUUAAUGACUCGU
RNAcentral lists this ribosomal RNA (514 nucleotides) under uncultured Entrophospora. Its description in RNAcentral is "SSU rRNA". It matches the Rfam family "Eukaryotic small subunit ribosomal RNA", at positions 569 to 1079 of the family's 1831-position model. Lineage: Eukaryota; Fungi; Glomeromycota; Glomeromycetes; Entrophosporales; Entrophosporaceae. The record is from RNAcentral.